This 198-nucleotide ribosomal RNA is filed under the name uncultured bacterium. RNAcentral's name for it is "partial 16S ribosomal RNA". It matches the Rfam family "Bacterial small subunit ribosomal RNA", at positions 326 to 539 of the family's 1533-position model. The record is from RNAcentral.
ACGCUCGACACCUACGGGAAGCAGCAGUGGGGAAUAUUACACAAUGGGGGAAACCCUGAUGCAGCGACGCCGCGUGAGCGAAGAAGUAUUUCGGUAUGUAAAGCUCUAUCAGCAGGGAAGAAACUGACGGUACCUGACUAAGAAGCACCGGCUAAAUACGUGCCAACAGCCGCGGUAAUCUGAGCGGGCUGGCAAGGC